This 468-nucleotide ribosomal RNA is filed under the name uncultured bacterium. RNAcentral describes it as "partial 16S ribosomal RNA". It matches the Rfam family "Bacterial small subunit ribosomal RNA", at positions 28 to 507 of the family's 1533-position model. The record is from RNAcentral.
GACGAACGCUGGCGGCGUGCCUAACACAUGCAAGUCGAACGGACAGGCCCUGCUCUUGUGGGGUGCUCGAGUGGCGAACGGGUGAGUAACACGCGAGUAACCUGCCCUUGUCUUUGGGAUAACUUCAGGAAACUGGGGCUCAUAUCGGAUAGGAGCUCCUGCUGCAUGGUGGGGGUUGGAAAGUUUCGGCGGUUCGGGAUAGACUCGCGGGUUAUCCGCUAGUUGGUGGGGUAGUGGCUUACGAAGGCUUUGACGGGUAGCCGGCAUGAGAGGGGGGACGGCGACAAGAGGACUGAGGGACGGACCAGACGGGUACGGGAGGCAGCGGUGGGGAAUAUUGCACAAUGGGCGGAAGCCUGAUGCAGCGACGCCGCGUGCGGAAUGACGGCCUUCGGGUUGUAAACCGCUGUCGCCUGUGACGAAGCGUGAGUGACGGUAAUGGGUAAAAAAGCACCGGCUAACUACGUG